RNAcentral lists this ribosomal RNA (253 nucleotides) under uncultured bacterium. RNAcentral describes it as "partial 16S ribosomal RNA". It matches the Rfam family "Bacterial small subunit ribosomal RNA", at positions 524 to 776 of the family's 1533-position model. The record is from RNAcentral.
UACAGAGGUCCCAAGCGUUGUUCGGAUUCACUGGGCGUAAAGGGUGCGUAGGCGGCUGUGGAAGUCUGAUGUGAAAGCUCGGAGCUCAACUCCGAAAAGGCAUUGGAUACUCUGCAGCUAGAGGAUUGGAGGGGGGACUGGAAUUCUCGGUGUAGCAGUGAAAUGCGUAGAUAUCGAGAGGAACACCAGUGGCGAAGGCGAGUCCCUGGACAAUUCCUGACGCUGAGGCACGAAAGCUAGGGGAGCAAACAGG